This 480-nucleotide ribosomal RNA is filed under the name uncultured bacterium. Its description in RNAcentral is "partial 16S ribosomal RNA". It matches the Rfam family "Bacterial small subunit ribosomal RNA", at positions 28 to 507 of the family's 1533-position model. The record is from RNAcentral.
GAUGAACGCUAGCGGCAGGCCUAACACAUGCAAGUCGAGGGGUAGAAGGAGCUUGCUCCUUUGAGACCGGCGCACGGGUGCGUAACGCGUAUGCAAUCUACCUUGUACAGGGGAAUAGCCCAGAGAAAUUUGGAUUAAUGCCCCAUAGUAUAUAACCUUCGCAUGUUGGUUAUAUUAAAGUUCCAACGGUACAAGAUGAGCAUGCGUCCCAUUAGUUAGUUGGUAAGGUAACGGCUUACCAAGACGAUGAUGGGUAGGGGUCCUGAGAGGGAGAUCCCCCACACUGGUACUGAGACACGGACCAGACUCCUACGGGAGGCAGCAGUGAGGAAUAUUGGUCAAUGGUCGCAAGACUGAACCAGCCAUGCCGCGUGCAGGAAGACGGUCCUAUGGAUUGUAAACUGCUUUUAUACAGGAAGAAACCCUCCCACGUGUGGGAGCUUGUCGGUACUGUAGGAAUAAGGAUCGGCUAACUCCGUG